RNAcentral lists this ribosomal RNA (738 nucleotides) under Cohnella ginsengisoli. RNAcentral's name for it is "bacterial SSU rRNA". It matches the Rfam family "Bacterial small subunit ribosomal RNA", at positions 23 to 742 of the family's 1533-position model. The record is from RNAcentral. Lineage: Bacteria; Bacillati; Bacillota; Bacilli; Caryophanales; Paenibacillaceae.
CUCAGGACGAACGCUGGCGGCGUGCCUAAUACAUGCAAGUCGAGCGGAUCUUGUUUGCAGCUUGCUGCAAACUUGGUUAGCGGCGGACGGGUGAGUAACACGUAGGCAACCUGCCCUUCAGACCGGGAUAACAUUCGGAAACGAAUGCUAAGACCGGAUAGGCAGCGAGAUCGCAUGGUCUUGCUGAGAAACACGGUGCAAGCUGUGGCUGAAGGAUGGGCCUGCGGCGCAUUAGCUAGUUGGUGGGGUAACGGCUCACCAAGGCGACGAUGCGUAGCCGACCUGAGAGGGUGAACGGCCACACUGGGACUGAGACACGGCCCAGACUCCUACGGGAGGCAGCAGUAGGGAAUCUUCCACAAUGGGCGCAAGCCUGAUGGAGCAACGCCGCGUGAGUGAGGAAGGCUUUCGGGUCGUAAAGCUCUGUUGCCAGGGAAGAAUAAGGGUGAGGUAACUACUCAUUCGAUGACGGUACCUGAGAAGAAAGCCCCGGCUAACUACGUGCCAGCAGCCGCGGUAAUACGUAGGGGGCAAGCGUUGUCCGGAAUUAUUGGGCGUAAAGCGCGCGCAGGCGGUUUUUUAAGUCUGGUGUCUAAGUGCGGGGCUCAACCCCGUGAUGCACUGGAAACUGGGAGACUUGAGUGCAGAAGAGGAGAGCGGAAUUCCACGUGUAGCGGUGAAAUGCGUAGAGAUGUGGAGGAACACCAGUGGCGAAGGCGGCUCUCUNGACUGUAACNG